RNAcentral lists this ribosomal RNA (301 nucleotides) under uncultured bacterium. Its description in RNAcentral is "partial 16S ribosomal RNA". It matches the Rfam family "Bacterial small subunit ribosomal RNA", at positions 509 to 807 of the family's 1533-position model. The record is from RNAcentral.
CAGCAGCCACGGGAAUACGUAGGGUGCGAGCGUUAAUCGAAAUUACUGGGCGUAAAGCGAGCGCGGACGGUUACUUAAGCAGGAUGUGAAAUCCCCGGGCUCAACCUGGGAACUGCGUUCUGAACUGGGUGACUAGAGUGUGUCAGAGGGAGGCAGAAUUCCACGUGUAGCAGUGAAAUGCGUAGAGAUGUGGAGGAAUACCGAUGGCGAAGGCAGCCUCCUGGGAUAACACUGACGUUCAUGCUCGAAAGCGUGGGUAGCAAACAGGAUUAGAUACCCGUGUAGUCCCUGUCUCUUAUAC